GACGAACGCUGGCGGCGUGCUUAACACAUGCAAGUCGAACGGAAAGGCCUGCUUUCCCUUGUGGAUUGCGGGUACUCGAGUGGCGAACGGGUGAGUAACACGUGAGUGAUCUGCCCCCAACUUGGGUAUAAGCCUGGGAAACUGGGUCUAAUGCCCGAUAGGACUGCAGGGUGGUGCCUGUGGUGGAAGACGAUUUUCUAGUGGUUGGGGAUGAGCUCGCGGCCUAUCAGCUUGUUGGUGGGGUAAUGGCCUACCAAGGCGGCGACGGGUAGCCGGCCUGGGAGGGUGGACGGCCACAUUGGGACUGCGAUACGGCCCAGACUCCUACGGGAGGCAGCAGUGGGGAGUAUUGCACAAUGGGCGGAAGCCUGAUGCAGCGACGCCGCGUGGGGGAUGACGGCCUUCGGGUUGUAAACUCCUUUCGACCGCGAGGAAGCCACCUGGUUGGAAGGGUGGUGACGGUAGUGGUAGAAGAAGCACCGGCUAACUACGUG
This 494-nucleotide ribosomal RNA is filed under the name uncultured bacterium. Its description in RNAcentral is "partial 16S ribosomal RNA". It matches the Rfam family "Bacterial small subunit ribosomal RNA", at positions 28 to 507 of the family's 1533-position model. The record is from RNAcentral.